AGAGUUUGAUCCUGGCUCAGGACGAACGCUGGCGGCGUGCCUAAUACAUGCAAGUCGAGCGAAAUUGCCAGGAGCUUGCUCCUGACAAAUUAGCGGCGGACGGGUGAGUAACACGUGGGCAACCUGCCCUUAAGAUUGGGAUAACACCGGGAAACCGGUGCUAAUACCGAAUAGGAGCUGUAGAAGCAUUUCUGUAGUUG
RNAcentral lists this ribosomal RNA (200 nucleotides) under uncultured bacterium. RNAcentral describes it as "partial 16S ribosomal RNA". It matches the Rfam family "Bacterial small subunit ribosomal RNA", at positions 8 to 202 of the family's 1533-position model. The record is from RNAcentral.